CCGCCCGUCACAUCACGAAAGCAGGUUGCACUAGAAGCCGGUUCGCUGACCGCAAGGAGGCAGCCGUCCAAGGUGUGGCGUUGUGAUUGGGGUG
This 94-nucleotide ribosomal RNA is filed under the name uncultured bacterium. Its description in RNAcentral is "partial 16S ribosomal RNA". The record is from RNAcentral.